GGAUGCGAUCAUACCAACACUAAAGGACCGGAUCCCAUCAGAACUCUGAAGUUAAGCGUGCUUGGGCGAGAGUAGAACUAGGAUGGGUGACCUCCUGGGAAGUCCUCUUGUUGCACUCC
This 119-nucleotide ribosomal RNA is filed under the name Triticum dicoccoides. The record is from RNAcentral. Lineage: Eukaryota; Viridiplantae; Streptophyta; Magnoliopsida; Poales; Poaceae.